RNAcentral lists this ribosomal RNA (441 nucleotides) under uncultured bacterium. RNAcentral's name for it is "bacterial SSU rRNA". It matches the Rfam family "Bacterial small subunit ribosomal RNA", at positions 360 to 793 of the family's 1533-position model. The record is from RNAcentral.
AAUAUUGCACAAUGGGCGCAAGCCUGAUGCAGCCAUGCCGCGUGUAUGAAGUAAGGCCUUCGGGUUGUAAAGUACUUUCAGCAGUGAGGAAGGUGGGUAUGUUAAUAGCAUAUUCAUUUGACGUUAGCUGCAGAAGAAGCACCGGCUAACUCCGUGCCAGCAGCCGCGGUAAUACGGAGGGUGCGAGCGUUAAUCGGAAUUACUGGGCGUAAAGCGCAUGCAGGUGGUUUGUUAAGUCAGAUGUGAAAGCCCGGGGCUCAACCUCGGAAUUGCAUUUGAAACUGGCAAACUAGAGUACUGUAGAGGGGGUAGAAUUUCAGGUGUAGCGGUGAAAUGCGUAGAGAUCUGAAGGAAUACCGGUGGCGAAGGCGGCCCCCUGGACAGAUACUGACACUCAGAUGCGAAAGCGUGGGGAGCAAACAGGAUUAGAUACCCUGGUAG